Molecule: unclassified non-coding RNA, 229 nt
Filed under: plant metagenome
Description: partial contains small subunit ribosomal RNA, internal transcribed spacer 1, and 5.8S ribosomal RNA
Source: RNAcentral
UUUCCGUAGGUGAACCUGCGGAGGGAUCAUUACAGAGUUCAUGCCCUACCGGGUCGAUGUCCCACCCUAUGUUAUUAUUACUUUGUUGCUUUGGCGGGCCGUUAGGCUCCGGCCCGACUACCGGCCCCGGCUGGGAAGCGCCCGCAAGAGGCCCCAAAACCCUGAAUAUUAGUGUCGUCUGAGUACUGUAUAAUAGUUAAAACUUUCAACAACGGAUCUCUUGGUUCUG